GUGGGGAAUAUUCCGCAAUGGGCGCAAGCCUGACGGAGCAACGCCGCGUGAAUGAAGACGGUCUUCGGAUUGUAAAGUUCUGUCAUUAGGGACGAAGGACUCAUGUAAAUAAUAUGAGGAAUGACGGUACCUAAGGAGGAAGCUCCGGCUAACUACGUGCCAGCAGCCGCGGUAAUACGUAGGGAGCAAGCGUUGUCCGGAAUUACUGGGCGCAAAGGGCGCGUAGGCGGAUAAUUAAGUCAGAUGUGAAAUCUCCAGUGUUAACUGGGAGCGUGCAUUUGAAACUGGUUAUCUUGAGGGCAGGAGAGGAAAGUGGAAUUCCUAGUGUAGCGGUGAAAUACGUAGAUAUUAGGAGGAACACCAGUGGCGAAGGCGACUUUCUGGACUGAACCUGACGCUGAGGCGCGAAAGCAUGGGGAGCGAACGGGAUUAGAAACCCCGGUAGUCC
Molecule: ribosomal RNA, 448 nt
Filed under: uncultured bacterium
Lineage: Bacteria
Description: partial 16S ribosomal RNA
Rfam family: Bacterial small subunit ribosomal RNA
Source: RNAcentral